CCUGGUAGUGGGGGAUAACGUUCGGAAACGGACGCUAAUACCGCAUACGUCCUACGGGAGAAAGCAGGGGACCUUCGGGCCUUGCGCUAUCAGAUGAGCCUAGGUCGGAUUAGCUAGUUGGUGGGGUAAUGGCUCACCAAGGCGACGAUCCGUAACUGGUCUGAGAGGAUGAUCAGUCACACUGGAACUGAGACACGGUCCAGACUCCUACGGGAGGCAGCAGUGGGGAAUAUUGGACAAUGGGCGAAAGCCUGAUCCAGCCAUGCCGCGUGUGUGAAGAAGGUCUUCGGAUUGUAAAGCACUUUAAGUUGGGAGGAAGGGCAGUAAAUUAAUACUUUGCUGUUUUGACGUUACCGACAGAAUAAGCACCGGCUAACUCUGUGCCAGCAGCCGCGGUAAUACAGAGGGUGCAAGCGUUAAUCGGAAUUACUGGGCGUAAAGCGCGCGUAGGUGGUUCGUUAAGUUGGAUGUGAAAUCCCCGGGCUCAACCUGGGAACUGCAUUCAAAACUGACGAGCUAGAGUAUGGUAGAGGGUGGUGGAAUUUCCUGUGUAGCGGUGAAAUGCGUAGAUAUAGGAAGGAACACCAGUGGCGAAGGCGACCACCUGGACUGAUACUGACACUGAGGUGCGAAA
This 634-nucleotide ribosomal RNA is filed under the name uncultured Pseudomonas sp. RNAcentral's name for it is "bacterial SSU rRNA". It matches the Rfam family "Bacterial small subunit ribosomal RNA", at positions 129 to 758 of the family's 1533-position model. Lineage: Bacteria; Pseudomonadati; Pseudomonadota; Gammaproteobacteria; Pseudomonadales; Pseudomonadaceae. The record is from RNAcentral.